GGGCCUAGGCUAGUUUCGAUGGUUAUACCCUUUCGUAUGAUAAUUUAAAAUAUAGAUUCAAGUCUUCAUCAACUUUACCUCUCUAUAAAAAACUUGAGUUUCAAUAAUCAAAGUAUGGACAGGUCUCCCUCCUUUUUUAAAGUAAAAAAUAUUAUGACAUUGACAAUGGAAGGAUCUUAGGACCUCUAAUAAGAUGUGGUCUUUUUUUUUCAGGUAU
RNAcentral lists this long non-coding RNA (217 nucleotides) under Elaeis guineensis (African oil palm). RNAcentral describes it as "long non-coding RNA (EGUI_LNC023891)". The record is from RNAcentral. Lineage: Eukaryota; Viridiplantae; Streptophyta; Magnoliopsida; Arecales; Arecaceae.